This 440-nucleotide ribosomal RNA is filed under the name uncultured soil bacterium. RNAcentral describes it as "bacterial SSU rRNA". It matches the Rfam family "Bacterial small subunit ribosomal RNA", at positions 26 to 472 of the family's 1533-position model. The record is from RNAcentral.
AGAUUGAACGCUGGCGGCAUGCUUUACACAUGCAAGUCGAACGGCAGCACGGGGGCAACCCUGGUGGCGAGUGGCGAACGGGUGAGUAAUAUAUCGGAACGUACCCGGAAAUGGGGGAUAACGUAGCGAAAGUUACGCUAAUACCGCAUAUGCCCUGAGGGGGAAAGCGGGGGAUUCGUAAGAACCUCGCGUUUUCGGAGCGGCCGAUAUCGGAUUAGCUAGUAGGUGAGGUAAAGGCUCACCUAGGCGACGAUCCGUAGCUGGUCUGAGAGGACGACCAGCCACACUGGAACUGAGACACGGUCCAGACUCCUACGGGAGGCAGCAGGUGGGAAUUUGGACAAGUGGGCGACAAGCCUGAUCCAGCCAUCGACCGCGUGACGUAGAAGAACGGCCGUUCGGGUUAGUAAAGCUUCGUUACGACGACCGGUAAAGAAACG